Pseudoliparis swirei is the source of this 404-nucleotide long non-coding RNA. RefSeq lists it as uncharacterized. The transcript is spliced from 2 exons. The record is from RefSeq and is a predicted model, not a curated record. NCBI's taxonomy places the organism in Eukaryota, Metazoa, Chordata, Actinopteri, Perciformes, Liparidae.
CGGCCCUCGAGGGACAAGCCGAGCCGCGUGGCGCCCCGUGGCGUCUGGAUCAAUGCCGGCCUCGCACCACCUGUACCGAGUGUCUCUCUCUCUCUCUCUCUUAUCAAGCGACACCACAGAGCUCUGCGUCUUGCGUCUUCCUCCGUGUUUCACCGCCGCCCGGCCGUCGGGUUUAUCCGGCUGCACAUCUGUGCUCUGCGUGAAAUGUUUCAGCCUCGUUCUUGUAGAGUGUACCGCCGGCCACUAGAGGGCAGCGUCUAAUUACCUGACCGGAUAUGUCACGCUGCCUUCCGUUAAUGUCAGCGUCCAUUUGAGUCUCGUCAUUCAUUCAUUCCACCUCGAGGCGAGAUGUUCAUCCACUCAUUCAUGGUGUCUUCAUCUCUGUCAUUAAACCCUUAAACUGA